This 482-nucleotide ribosomal RNA is filed under the name uncultured bacterium. Its description in RNAcentral is "partial 16S ribosomal RNA". It matches the Rfam family "Bacterial small subunit ribosomal RNA", at positions 30 to 507 of the family's 1533-position model. The record is from RNAcentral.
AUUGAACGCUGGCGGCAUGCUUUACACAUGCAAGUCGAACGGUAACAGGCCGCAAGGUGCUGACGAGUGGCGAACGGGUGAGUAAUGCAUCGGAACGUGCCCAGUCGUGGGGGAUAACUACUCGAAAGAGUAGCUAAUACCACAUACGAUCUAUGGAUGAAAGCGGGGGACCGUAAGGCCUCGCGCGAUUGGAGCGGCCGAUGUCAGAUUAGGUAGUUGGUGGGGUAAAGGCUCACCAAGCCAACGAUCUGUAGCUGGUCUGAGAGGACGACCAGCCACACUGGGACUGAGACACGGCCCAGACUCCUACGGGAGGCAGCAGUGGGGAAUUUUGGACAAUGGGCGCAAGCCUGAUCCAGCAAUGCCGCGUGCAGGAAGGAGGCCUUCGGGUUGUAAACUGCUUUUGUACGGAACGAAACGGCUCUGGUUAAUACCCGGGGCUAAUGACGGUACCGUAAGAAUAAGCACCGGCUAACUACGUG